Molecule: long non-coding RNA, 4964 nt
Organism: Anguilla rostrata (American eel)
Lineage: Eukaryota; Metazoa; Chordata; Actinopteri; Anguilliformes; Anguillidae
Exons: 2
Source: RefSeq, a predicted model, not a curated record
UGUUUUAUUUGGCUAGUACUAACAGUUAUGAUAUCUAUUUUAUAUUUCUGAUGUGAUGUUGCUAACGUAUUUCAGCCAGCUAUAACUACACAUACCGUUGAAUAAGCUUAUUCUCAUGACAGUGGAACGCUGACCAGACGAAAUUCUCUAUUUUAAGCAAUCACUAGUUAUCUACCGUUACCUAGUUAGCUAGCAAUUUUAUCACUCGACAAUCAUAGUCUAAUGUAAACCGAUAUAACUUGGCCUCUCUGGACGUUAGCUCCAUAUCGCUGGUGAGGUAAUCUGAAGAAACUGGACCAUUUGUUUUUGACAAGACACCGGUCGAAAUUGACACAGCCGGUUAAAAUGGCCGAGGACGAGGCAGAUAUCUUACCCAGGUAGAUAAUUGGCCACCUAACGUUACAGCUUGACACGACUACGUAAUUUGCAUGUUUAACGUCAGUGCAAGUUGUCCUAACAGCUUGUUUUUUUUACUGCUAACAUUGUUUAGGAGUUAUAUUGAAUACACAUAGCCUUUUGGUAGCUAACGUUGUGUUUUACUGCGCUAGGCUAUCGAUAGCUAGUUCACCGGCUAAAUAUUGGCGGAGACCACGUGACCCUGUGCCAUUGCUGUAGCUUAGCUACCACUACCAUUAAUUAGCUGUAGAAAUGUACAAUGGGUUCUGUUGAAAACUGACUCGUACAGCAAAUGGAAAGAUCAAUAUUAUUUGACGAACAUCUGUAAAAUCUGUUUGAUACGUAGCUAGCCACUAGUUGAUCGCUAGUUUAAAAAUAUUUAGCGAGCCAUGCGCAUGAUUGACGUCCUCUGUGAUCUAAAGUAUCUGGUCGGAUUGCUUGCUAGCCCGUUGAUGUAAAACCGGACCAGACCAGUUUGACGGAGAAAUGGCUAUCUAGGUAUCGCUGACCAACUAGCUACUAUUUCCCCCAUAUUAAAACAGCUGAAAUCAGUUCGGUGUUAUGGAAAUGUGUGCUGUUCUAAUGUCUUGGCUGACUACGUUAAGAAAGAACUAUGCAUUUAAAACGAAAAUUUCAUAGCACCUCAUUUAUCGACAUCUUUGCAACAAAUAAUGUAUAAUCUUUAGGGAUUUCGCUUGAAAAACAACCAGGGUUUCAUUCAGUUAACCAUAGUUGUACACCAUUUUAGUUCGGCUAUCCUUAAAUGGUUUCUAGCUAACUAACGUUACAUUUAUAUGCGUUUAUCACGUGAGCUGUCAGAUGGGGUCGUGGUCUUACUCAAUACAGUUUAUUUUUAUGGAGCUUUUAGUUAUGUAAGGACAAAUGUGGUGCUGACGUUUACUAUGUAAUGGUGACGUUGUCAAUGAAAUUACUACUGACGAACUUUUGUCUUUUUAUUUUCACAUAGGCGGAAUUAAUAUAAUCGCAAAUGUGUUGGUUAUUGCGGACGUGCUUUAACAGUUUGUGCGUUACGCUUUGAAGUUGACCUGCGCUGAAUGCUGUCAACGUGAUGAAAACUCGCCAUCGAGAGAUGCAAGAAGCCAUGUGAUUAGAUUAAGCUCAUUAUAACCUUCCAGCAUCACUAAUACAGAGUGUCUCUGACAAAAAAAGCUGCAGUAACUUUCUAAACCGGGGAGCUCAAGCUGCCAGUCAGCUGGUAAUUCAGACUAAUUUGAAACCUCAAAUGACAGUCAUCGCCGGCGAACAAGAUAGUUGUGCAACAUCCGGGGCUUCAAAAUGGCUGGGGCCCAUCAUGUUACUCAUCCUCCCGUACGCAUUAAUUUAUUUUGCUGCCGUCGAUUAUACUGUAGAUUUAAUAAAUGUGGCGUCGUCAGUGAUUUUGGAAAUAUGAAUUGAUGUGUAUAGUCUUACUGAACGUUGGCGGUUAUGUGUACACCUGGUCACGGAAAAUGAGAAGAAUCUACUUGUGAGAUCUUUCUCUAAGGUUUGUUUUUGCUUCGAUGUAACGUUAGUGGGAUGGAUGUUUACAUCCCUGCUUUGGGACUUAGAUGAUUGCGACGCUUCCAGUUAAUCCAUUUGUAAGCUGCUUCUCUCGAUUAAAUGGGGAAAAAAUGGUUGUGUCACAACCGACGAAAGAGAGGACUUUUAGUGUAAUUAAAAUGAACCUCGCUCAGCACGUACUCCUGACUCAGUCAAUGGAAAAUUAGCUUGCAGAGGAAGAUGAGCUAAGAACGUUGAACAGGAGUUUUCCCCAGCAAAACAUCUUCCCGCUGUCAUGAUGAAGCUCAUCCGGCUAAUUUAAUGCUGUUUGCCUUGACAGGGGUUUCUAGAACAGCAAUGGAAAAUAAUUGGUCUCAUCUUUCAGGCUGUACGGUUUUGUGAGACAUCGUACCCGGGAUGUGUGGUUGGUUUUCACAGCCCUACAUACACGUUUAAUGUGCCCUUAUUACGCAGUGACAGAGAUGGGACUUCAUACUCAUACUGUCAACAAAAAUGCCUUCAAGGAGUGUCCCCCCCAGGCAGGACUACUGGCAGCCCCGAGGAGUAAAAUUAGAUUUCCCUCGAGUUCAGUCAUUGGCUGUGACCUAACUUCGGUCUCAGAAUUGGGUUAUAGAUAGCAUCCGGGCUGCUGUCUAUUUCUCCCGUUUAACGAGGUCGGGAAGAGUACAGCAUUGGCGGAUGUGAUGCACAGUCACUGUGGUGGAGUCGCGCGGACAACCGCUGCAGGGUUACAGACGUGUUCCAUUCGUUCGUUAAAUAAAUCUCUGGUUCGUUAAAUAAAUCUCGUCCAAUUUAUUUUAGGACAGCUACUUGUCAGGAACUACGCAAUGCAGAAAUGUAUUUUGUUCAAUCAAACACAAUAUUCCCUAGUAUUUAGAAGUAUAAAUUUAUUUAUUUAUUUGAAAAUUGUUUUAAAUAUAUGCAUUUUCUUGGCUGUGAUUCAACACUUGCCAGAGUUUCCUAAGGGUACACUUUUAGCACCCGUGGAGCAGCAGGUUUGCAUUUUGAGUGCCACCUUUGCUCAUCUAUGACUAUUCUUUAUUAGUUUUCAGUUUUAUUUCGGUUUUUAUUGUUCAUGUAAAACACUGCGGUAGUUUACUGUUUGAAGGUGCAGUUCAAAUAAAGUUUAAUUAUUGAUCAUCCUUUGGAUGAAAAGGGUAUAACUGGUCUCUGGCGUGCCAAGAACAGUGAUUUAUGUUGAAAUCCCUUAAAACUAAGCUGAACAUUAAAUUUCUGCCAUUUCAUUUAAAAUUGGAACGAGCCAAAAAAAAAUUAAUAUUUGGCAAAUUAGCAAUGCAGUGUAAGCACAUCCUUGUAAUGGCUGGCUAGACAUUCUCGUGAAGGAAAACAGAGGUACAAAAGUCAAUGUAGUUUUUAAAAGUUAUUUUUUUAAAAGAAGCCUUGGCUUACAGUGUCGGAAUCCAGGUUUUUGACUAAGCUCUCCUCUGCCAAUGUUAUGUUCGAUUUUGCACCACCGUUCAUAUAAUCAAGUCAAUUUUUAAUUGUAUUUCAUUCAGAGGGGCUGUCGGACACACAAUUGUUCUUUUUGGGGGGCUCGUUGUAAGCUUUCCUUCAGGGUUUUACUGAAAUGCAGCUAAAGCAAGGCUUGUUUUAAAUGGCAGCUGCCAUUAGCACGAAAAUACAGUUUGUUGCAAACUCACGACAAGCGGACGGGUAUGUCAUUCAGUGGAGUUUGUCCCUAAUGAUUAUCCAAAUGAACUUUUACGUGGGGUCAAUCCGCUGGCAACAUUUGCAACAACAGAGCUGACCGUUUCUGUCGUCCGAAGAGUUUAGGCCCAAGUGGACCGAUAGCAAUGAGUUUAGUUAAGCCACAAUUAUAAUUUUGCGGGACUAAUUAUUAUUUGAUGAAAUGUGAUCUGUUUUUUGACUUUCAGAAUUUAACAUAACUUCGGCUUAGUUUCGUGUGAAGUCAAUUUUUAGUAACCUUAUGAGUGGCAGGUUCAUUGCGAGAAGACCCCUUGGAUGUCUUCCUUUGAAUGUAAAUAUAUAAAUAUAGCUGACCAACUCCGUUCUCUUAAAGCUGUUACCUGACUACUGUAGCUGGCUUUUGCACGUUUAAAUUAGAAUGUGUUCUUUCACAGUGGAAUUGGGCUAAGCUGUCCAACUUGCAUUCAGGUCAAAUGUGAAGGGGAAUGGAAAAAAAUCUUUUCUAAAUAGGGGUCGGGCGGGGGUGGGGGCCAGGGGGGGGUUUGGCCAACAGCUGCGGUGCAUAAUUUUUUCUAACUGUUAGUUAAAAACAAAAAGAAAAGACUACAUUAAGAACACAGCACUGCUGUUUAAUCCAUGCACUGGCUCCCUUCUUGUGCAGCUGAGGGAGAGAGCUGUGUUUCAUAGCAACGGGCGUGAAGGUGACCUUUGGCAACGGCCAGUCCCGGCGAAAGGUCACAUGGUGUCUAGGGCUCGCGGCGGUGUAGCCUCACGCUAGCGGAAAGGCUGGCUGCUCCCGGUCCACGUGCUGCCGCGGAGCGAGAUCGAUCCCUGUCCCAGUCCCGAAUGCUGUAAUCCCCGGGUUCGGGAGGCCUCUGUGAGCUCGCUUCCCCCUCCGCCCGCGCCUCCUGCCGUCUACAAUCGGCCGCAUUGUUCCGGACAAGGGGGAAAACUCACGGGCCUGCCCGAACCACCCUCUGGAGCCGGAACAAUGUCUGUCGUUCUGCACACUUUCUUUUUAAUUCUUUGGAAUUUAGAUCUGAGGCGGAUUGUUGGAUUGUUCGCGCAGUUUAUUCCUCAGAUUUAUGUGUAUGUCAGCGGCCUUGCACGUUGAGGUUCCACCCCAGGUUCCGUUCUCAGUGUAUUGUCUUAAGAUUGAGUGUGGAAUUUCAAUGAAACGGCCCGACGGGAGGGGGGGGGGGGACUUGCACUGCACUGCCCAUACUGCACCAUGAGAAACCACAUUCCUCUGAGUGUUGUAACCCUUUAAAAUGUAAGUUCACAAAUAUGUGAUUAGAAUGUUCAUGACUGAGCAUUCUAACGCUGAUGUAACAAUCACUACUGGCGAUAGAAAGCAAUGCAGUUCUAGAACACAAACU